AUUCAUCCAACAACAUUUUUGAUGCAUGAUGCAUAUGGUGCUAAAUGUUGGGAAUGCAAACCUGAAUAAGUGUCUAUUUCAAAUCAAUAGGAGUACUUGAAGAUUCUCCCUGCUUACAAUGUAAACAUCAUGAAGAAAGAGAUGUGUUGGACUUGUUCAUUGCUAUAUUUCCUGGCUUAGAACCUGGCAGUGAGUAGACAUCAAGAAAUAUUUAAAUGAAUGAAAGAAUAAAUGAAUGAAUGAACGAACUGUGGCCUCUUGUAGAGCAGAGGGUAUUUAACCACUACCCUAAGAGAUGACACCAGGAGGUCUUGCUGCAAAGCCAGGCACUGUAUUCCACACUGUAUUUCCAUCAUCUCUUUUAAUGAGACUUCUUUGCAAAUAUGUAUGGUAUCUUUUAAAAUACCUGAUAACCAGCCAGCAGGGGUGGUCAGCUGCUACACUGGCAGCUGCAAACAGAAUCCAAGACACAGAACUUCAUACAGUGUCACAGCUUCAUUUUCCAGGCUACAGCUCCCACUGCCCACAUCAGAACCAUCUGCAGGUCCAUAGGCUGUGAGUUUCUUUGGGAGUUGGGGGAGUGUCUUUUGGAUGUUUAUAACUUAUGCAUCUUAAUAUUGAAUGUGCACUUAAUACAUGGAACUUCAUAGUACUUGAUUUUUUAUGCAAAAAUGACUUAAUUAAAAUUUCUUGAAGGAA
This 699-nucleotide long non-coding RNA is filed under the name Pongo abelii (Sumatran orangutan). RNAcentral's name for it is "lincRNA". The record is from RNAcentral. Lineage: Eukaryota; Metazoa; Chordata; Mammalia; Primates; Hominidae.